AUUCCACCAUUUUUCUUCCUCUCAUUUUACUGAUUUUGAAGGUAAACCUCAAACAAAAAGAAGGUUUGUUGGUUUUCAAGUGCAAAUUCUAGAUCAAUCCACACUCCAAUUUUUGCUGAAUUUGUGUUCUACAAAGAUAGGGGAUUUCUUCUCUCGGAUUCAAUUUUCAGUACCAACUCUUUCUGCCCUAAUUAAAUUCAGAUAUGUUUUUAUCUCAUUUUUGUUGUUGAUGUCUUCUUAAUUUCUAUAUCUUGGUAAUUUGAAAUAUUUUCAAAUAUUGUAUCAUUCAUGAAACCAGUAACUAUUUGUGGUGUUUUGUUAGCCAAAGAUUUAACUACACUUACCCCAGAUUUUCUUCGAAUUACCUACCCUUCUUGGUGCUUUUUACCAACAUGCUUAAUUAAUUUGUUUUCUCCAAUUGACCACUGUUUUGAUGAAUUCGUACAACAAACAAUUUGGUUUCAAAUCAUAUGUACAUGUGCUUAAAUCUUAGUGUACUGCAUAUAAUUUCAAAUGUUACAAGUACUUUAGAAAAUCAAAAGGGUUAUGCAGGCACAAAAGUUUUGAUUUCAAUCAAAAUUAAGGUCUUUUAGUUAGUUUCUAAACUUGCCUGCCAACCGUUUGUGAAAAUGGCUCAGUGAGCAACAUUUUUAAUCAACCAGCGAAACAUGAACUUUUAUGGGCUGAUAUUGCUUUUAUAUUUAAACUCCUUACAUUUCUGUUAAAUUAACAUUUAAAACUUCUUUGACCCGUAAGCUCUUUACGUACGUUAUCAUUUUUUCGACCCAUCCGACACCCAAUAAAAAUUGAAAUCAUUUUCCAUAGGUUUAGUAUUUUAUUACCUUCCCUUCCUUGUCAACACAAGCAUUCCAACUUAAUUAUUUUUCUUACUAUGCCAUCUUGAAAGCUUUACGGGUCUAAGUAUAGACCCUCAACCAAAAACGUACUGCUUCAUUUAUAAAACACCAUUGUUUUAUGCUUUUGUUAUGUGUACAUUCACUUUCCUUUUUCAUUAAAUUUCUGAGCACUUGGUAUUAGAUUUAUGGGAUGAUUCAUCGUAGAAGUAGAUGAAUUACUUUCUUUUCUGAAAUAUGUAUUGGCUGAAAUGUGUAUUGUGAGAGUUUCCUUCUUGUGAACAGGUCUAAUAGUCUAGACGACUCUACUUUAGGAAUGUCAGGCCCACUGGGCCCACCCCAUUACGAGUGGCAACCCGGAAGAUCGUUAGCUGUAACGGUUGCUGGUAACCAGAACUAACCUGACAUCGGCACUGGCCAAAAGAUUAGUAGAAAUACUAAAGGAACUCGAAGUAGUGAGCUAGAUCGAACUUAUGGAAAGCUUGGAAACUUAGAAGCGUUAGUAUUUUAUAGGUUUAGGUGAACUAUAGGUUUAGUUGCUUGGUCUCAACUUUACGAAGUUGGUUUGAUUUUGUAUAGCAGCUUAAUUCUGAGAGUAUUCAAAUUCUGGACUA
This is a long non-coding RNA of Papaver somniferum (opium poppy), 1468 nucleotides long. RefSeq lists it as uncharacterized. The record is from RefSeq and is a predicted model, not a curated record. NCBI's taxonomy places the organism in Eukaryota, Viridiplantae, Streptophyta, Magnoliopsida, Ranunculales, Papaveraceae. The transcript is spliced from 2 exons.